GGCUGGUCCAAGUGCAGUGGUGUUUACAACUAAUUGAUCACAGCCAGUUACAGAUCUCUUUGUUCCUUCUCCACUCCCACUGCUUCACUUGACUAGCUUUUU
RNAcentral lists this Y RNA (102 nucleotides) under Sapajus apella (tufted capuchin). RNAcentral's name for it is "Cebus apella (Tufted capuchin) Y RNA". It matches the Rfam family "Y RNA". From Rfam's summary of the family: Y RNAs are components of the Ro ribonucleoprotein particle (Ro RNP), in association with Ro60 and La proteins. The Y RNAs and Ro60 and La proteins are well conserved, but the function of the Ro RNP is not known. Lineage: Eukaryota; Metazoa; Chordata; Mammalia; Primates; Cebidae. The record is from Rfam by way of RNAcentral. RNAcentral also lists the same sequence under 1 other name.